Long non-coding RNA from Micropterus dolomieu (smallmouth bass), 455 nucleotides. RefSeq lists it as uncharacterized. The record is from RefSeq and is a predicted model, not a curated record. The transcript is spliced from 3 exons. NCBI's taxonomy places the organism in Eukaryota, Metazoa, Chordata, Actinopteri, Centrarchiformes, Centrarchidae.
UUUAGCUAGCUAGUUUAAAAGUGAUAUUGUUCACUGUUGCUAUGUAGAAUGGUGCUGCUAUAAUGCAAAUAAAUAAUUGCUGCUAUUUUAUAUUAUUAUAGUAUUAGCGAUAGUGUUUAGUUGGAGGACAAGUCAGGCUGCAAGGAGUUGCUGUGGAUGGCCUCAGACAAAUUUGAAAUAAUGCUAGGAAGAGCCGGACCACUGAUCACCACACAGCAAUUACUGCCAGGAGAAACCUACAAAUCAAUCCGGUUUCCAGUAUAGGACUGGGGCAACUACUGUAUCUGAUAGAGUGAAAGACAUAUGCGAGGUCCUGCAGGAGGAGGAGGGGCAAGCAAAUGCCAAGGACUUCGCAGAGAAAUGGCAGUUCCUACAAUGCCCGGUUGCCAUCAAUGGGAAGCAUGUUUACAUCCAGCCCUGGCCCUUAGUGGCAGCAUGUGGCACAAAAAGUAGAU